AUUAAGAACCCAAGAGCAAGGAUCCCCGAUAAUCAUCCCCUAAGCCCCUAUUCUAAACCCAAUUUAUUUUUUGUUAAUUAAAUUACUUAUUUAAAAAAAAGGAAAUUAAGUUAAAAAAGAAAAUAAAUUGCAAAAGAAAAACGGAAGGCAAAUUCAUUUAGCCCCAAACCGCAAAACGACGAACCCUAAAUCACAUCUUCUUCUUUGUGUCUCUCUCUCUCUCGAGAAAAUCUGAGAAAAUUCACCGGCUAUUAUCUCUACGAUGCUUCACUUCCCCUUCGCCAGCGUUACUUAUUCUUACCUGGCUGAUUAUAUCCAUCUUAUCUUGUGAAGGAAGAUCAGCUAGUUAUGGAAGCCAAAAACAUGAUUAGGCAGAAAGAAUGCAGAAGCGUCUGGAGUCAAUAUGGUUCUGCUGCAGAGGACGAGGAAACUGUUUCAUCUCAAGACUCAUGUGUUACAUCACACCCACGGGUUAACAGGUAGACAUGAGAGCCAGGAUUCGAGUAAACAAAGGUUAAUAACAUAAGAGAUAAAUAUCGGGCACAGUGCACCUGCUUGUUCGAUAUCACAUUUUCAUUUUGGGAUUUUUGUUAAAAACUUAGUUAUUUGCCAUGUCAAUAUCAAGUUAGGCUUGUUACUAUACUCAAAAUUGAUUUAUUUUUUCCUGUUUAAAGUUGUAUUAUAUGGUACCAGAUGAAAUUGAAUGUCUUCAAGUUUCAAGAUA
Molecule: long non-coding RNA, 724 nt
Organism: Brassica napus (rape)
Lineage: Eukaryota; Viridiplantae; Streptophyta; Magnoliopsida; Brassicales; Brassicaceae
Exons: 3
Source: RefSeq, a predicted model, not a curated record